AAUAACCUUAGGCAAAAAAGGUCUGGUGUACAGGACCACUUUGUCUUGAUGGAAGACUCUAAAUUCAGAAGCUGAAGAAAGAGCUUGAAGUUCAUCUAUCCUUCUUGCCGAGGUGAUGGCUACCAGCACUACUGUCUUGAUCGUAAGGGGUUUAAAGGGAGGUUCACAAAGGGCUUGAAGAACCAAUGAUAAAUCCGAGGUGGGAAAAAGUGAAAGCUUAGGAGGAUGUUUAAGACUUACAGAUUUUUAAAAAAAUCUGCGGAUAAGCAAGUCAGAGGCAAAAAUUACGGACAAGGAAGUGACUUA
Molecule: non-coding RNA, 306 nt
Organism: Pelobates cultripes (western spadefoot toad)
Lineage: Eukaryota; Metazoa; Chordata; Amphibia; Anura; Pelobatidae
Source: the annotation of a GenBank genome assembly